GCCGCGCAGGAUGGAUGCGUUACCUGGGAGGUGGGUGCUGGGCCCUGGCCAUAGGCUGUUGCUUCCCAAGGGAAACGAGCUCACCUCUCUACUGGAGCAGGAAAGGUAGCCUUGGGAUGAGAAGAGACGGUCCAGGUUUCCCUGUGUGGUAUUGCUGUACUGAGCCCCUUUCCUGGGCCCAUUUCUUCUUGGGAGUGGGAUGGCUUUAGUAACAUUCCCACCUUUUGUUCAUCUUUUCCCGGAUGACAGGGUGUCCAGGAAAAAACAGAGGAAGCAAAAGAGGAGAAAAAUUUGGACACAGAAGGCCAUGUGACAACAGAAGCAGAGAUGGGAACAACGCAGCGGCAAGCCAAAGAUUGCUGUCAACCAUCACAGCCAGGAAGAGGCCAGGAGGGAUUCUUCCUUGGCCACCUCAGAGAGAGCAUGGUUUUGACAGCAUCUUGAUUUUGACUUCUUGCCUCCAAAACUGAGAAAAUUAAUUUUUUUACAUGAUGUAAAAAAAAAAUGGGAAUUUUGGAGCUAAAAGUUCUUAACUGAAUUUAAGAACAUAACUAUAUUUUACAAAAACUUAGCUGAAGAGAAUGACUGAAUUGGGAGAUAGAUAAUAUGGAAUAUCAAGAUAAUAUAAGAAGGAAAAUGCAUUAAAUAAAACUCAGCAUUUACUAA
Manis javanica (Malayan pangolin) is the source of this 666-nucleotide non-coding RNA. The record is from RefSeq and is a predicted model, not a curated record. NCBI's taxonomy places the organism in Eukaryota, Metazoa, Chordata, Mammalia, Pholidota, Manidae.